CUACAUUAAAGUUACUUGUCAUUUUCCACAUAUAUUUUUACUAAACUUUCAUUAUUUUUGUUGAAUGCAGCAGUAGAGAAUAUUUUGUUGCUUCAAUAUAAUAUAAAGUUAUUAGUAACUAAAAGAUCAUAAUCUUAGAAGAAGAAGAAAUACAAAGGGGAAAAUGGCAACUACUACAAAGAAGAAACCAGAGAAAACAAUUCCUGGCUUAGUGGAUUUGGUGUUUUCUUGGUCUUUAAAGGAUGUAUUGAACAAAGAUCUUUACAAUUCAUUUGUCGUCUAUUCUAUUUUAAAAAUAUAUGGAAAAUGGCAUUGACAACUACUACAAGAAAGAAAACAGAGAAAAAAAGCCCCCCAGGAUUGAUAGAUUUUGUGUUUUCUUGGUCUUUAGGGGAUGUGUUGAACAAAGAUCUUUACAAAGACAAGGUUUGAAUAUUUCUUCUUCUUGGAAGUAU
This is a long non-coding RNA of Solanum tuberosum (potato), 455 nucleotides long. RefSeq lists it as uncharacterized. The record is from RefSeq and is a predicted model, not a curated record. The transcript is spliced from 3 exons. Lineage: Eukaryota; Viridiplantae; Streptophyta; Magnoliopsida; Solanales; Solanaceae.